GCUUAACACAUGCAAGUCGAACGGCAGCACGGUAAGAGCUUGCUCUUAUGGGUGGCGAGUGGCGGACGGGUGAGGAAUACAUCGGAAUCUACCUUUUGGUGGGGGAUAACGUAGGGAAACUUACGCUAAUACCGCAUACGCCCUUCGGGGGAAAGCCGGGGACCAGCAAUGGCCUGGCGCUGAUAGAUGAGCCGAUGUCGGAUUAGCUAGUUGGUGAGGUAAUGGCUCACCAAGGCGACGAUCCGUAGCUGGUCUGAGAGGAUGAUCAGCCACACUGGAACUGAGACACGGUCCAGACUCCUACGGGAGGCAGCAGUGGGGAAUAUUGGACAAUGGGCGCAAGCCUGAUCCAGCCAUACCGCGUGGGUGAAGAAGGCCUUCGGGUUGUAAAGCCCUUUUGUUGGGAAAGAAAAGCAUUCGGUUAAUACCCGGGUGUUCUGACGGUACCCAAAGAAUAAGCACCGGCUAACUUCGUGCCAGCAGCCGCGGUAAUAC
RNAcentral lists this ribosomal RNA (495 nucleotides) under uncultured Gammaproteobacteria bacterium. RNAcentral's name for it is "bacterial SSU rRNA". It matches the Rfam family "Bacterial small subunit ribosomal RNA", at positions 46 to 526 of the family's 1533-position model. The record is from RNAcentral. Lineage: Bacteria; Pseudomonadati; Pseudomonadota; Gammaproteobacteria.